RNAcentral lists this ribosomal RNA (253 nucleotides) under uncultured bacterium. RNAcentral's name for it is "partial 16S ribosomal RNA". It matches the Rfam family "Bacterial small subunit ribosomal RNA", at positions 524 to 776 of the family's 1533-position model. The record is from RNAcentral.
UACGUAGGGGGCUAGCGUUGUCCGGAAUCAUUGGGCGUAAAGAGCGUGUAGGCGGCCCGGUAAGUCCGCUGUAAAAGUCAAAGGCUCAACCUUUGAAUGUCAGUGGAUACUGUCGGGCUAGAGUCCGGAAGAGGCGAGUGGAACUCCUGGUGUAGCGGUGGAAUGCGCAGAUAUAAGGAAGAACACCAACGGCGAAGGCAGCUCGCUAGGACGGUACUGACGCUGAGACGCGAAAGCGUGGGGAGCGAACAGG